This 492-nucleotide ribosomal RNA is filed under the name uncultured bacterium. RNAcentral describes it as "partial 16S ribosomal RNA". It matches the Rfam family "Bacterial small subunit ribosomal RNA", at positions 29 to 507 of the family's 1533-position model. The record is from RNAcentral.
AGUGAACGCUGGCGGUAGGCCUAACACAUGCAAGUCGAACGGCAGCACAGUAAGAGCUUGCUCUUACGGGUGGCGAGUGGCGGACGGGUGAGGAAUACGUCGGAAUCUACUUUUUCGUGGGGGAUAACGUAGGGAAACUUACGCUAAUACCGCAUACGACCUACGGGUGAAAGCAGGGGAUCUUCGGACCUUGCGCGAUUGAAUGAGCCGAUGUCGGAUUAGCUAGUUGGCGGGGUAAAGGCCCACCAAGGCGACGAUCCGUAGCUGGUCUGAGAGGAUGAUCGGCCACACUGGAACUGAGACACGGUCCAGACUCCUACGGGAGGCAGCAGUGGGGAAUAUUGGACAAUGGGCGCAAGCCUGAUCCAGCCAUACCGCGUGGGUGAAGAAGGCCUUCGGGUUGUAAAGCCCUUUUGUUGGGAAAGGAAAGCAGCAGGUUAAUACCCCGCUGUUCUGACGGUACCCAAAGAAUAAGCACCGGCUAACUUCGUG